GCUUGGGGACUGAUUCACUGACUUCACCACCAGCAGCGGAUAGGACCAGAGCUUCUAUUUACUCAACAGCUCUUACUGUAACAGAAAAGACUGGCACCGGUUGGUUAUUCAACAGCAGAUAGGCUUAGAGCCAGUAGUUGCCCUCCCUUGGAUUAUUCAAAUGUCAUUGCAGAUGAUCUUCUCGGGCAGUGAUAUCCCCCAAAGCAAGGGUCCGAAGGAUAGAAAGUACUGCUUAUUCUAAUUCGUAUCUUAAGUCUUUCCAGUUCCUAUUCAAGUGAACGGGGCAUCUUUGCAUUCCUCCUGGCUACACGAAUAGGAAAAGU
RNAcentral lists this long non-coding RNA (323 nucleotides) under Lathyrus oleraceus (garden pea). Its description in RNAcentral is "Pisum sativum (pea) long non-coding RNA (PSAT_LNC016353)". The record is from RNAcentral. Lineage: Eukaryota; Viridiplantae; Streptophyta; Magnoliopsida; Fabales; Fabaceae.